AACGCACCUUGCGCUCUCUGGUAUUCCGGAGAGCAUGCCUGUUUGAGUGUCAUGAACUCUUCAACCCUCCAGUUCCUUGUUGAACUGAUAGGUGUUUGGAUUUUGAGCGCUGCUGGCCUAACCCUUUCGAGGGCACAUGGCGAAGCUCGUUCGUAAUACAUUAGCAACUCAAUUUCGAGUAUUCGGAUUGACUCGGCGUAAUAGACUAUUCGCUGAGGACACUUGUUUAUUCAGGUGGCCGAAUCUUGAGGUAGUAGCUUCUAAACUCGAUCAACAGUCAAAUUUUUAGAUUAGACCUCAGAUCAGGCAGGAUUACCCGCUGAACUUAA
RNAcentral lists this unclassified non-coding RNA (329 nucleotides) under Pseudohelotium sp. RNAcentral's name for it is "partial contains 5.8S ribosomal RNA, internal transcribed spacer 2, and large subunit ribosomal RNA". The stretch from base 1 to 52 matches the Rfam family "5.8S ribosomal RNA", at positions 103 to 154 of the family's 154-position model. Lineage: Eukaryota; Fungi; Ascomycota; Leotiomycetes; Helotiales; Helotiaceae. The record is from RNAcentral.